GAUGAACGCUGGCGGCGUGCCUAAUACAUGCAAGUCGAGCGAACAGACGAGGAGCUUGCUCCUCUGACGUUAGCGGCGGACGGGUGAGUAACACGUGGAUAACCUACCUAUAAGACUGGGAUAACUUCGGGAAACCGGAGCUAAUACCGGAUAAUAUAUUGAACCGCAUGGUUCAAUAGUGAAAGACGGUUUUGCUGUCACUUAUAGAUGGAUCCGCGCCGCAUUAGCUAGUUGGUAAGGUAACGGCUUACCAAGACAACGAUGCGUAGCCGACCUGAGAGGGUGAUAGGCCACACUGGAACUGAGACACGGUCCAGACUCCUAAGGGAGGCAGCAGUAGGGAAUCUUCCGCAAUGGGCGAAAGCCUGACGGAGCAACGCCGCGUGAGUGAUGAAGGUCUUCGGAUCGUAAAACUCUGUUAUUAGGGAAGAACAAAUGUGUAAGUAACUAUGCACGUCUUGACGGUACCUAAUCAGAAAGCCACGGCUAACUACGUG
RNAcentral lists this ribosomal RNA (497 nucleotides) under uncultured bacterium. RNAcentral describes it as "partial 16S ribosomal RNA". It matches the Rfam family "Bacterial small subunit ribosomal RNA", at positions 28 to 507 of the family's 1533-position model. The record is from RNAcentral.